AGCGAACGCUGGCGGCAGGCUUAACACAUGCAAGUCGAGCGGGCACUUUCGGGUGUCAGCGGCGUACGGGUGAGUAACGCGUGGGAACGUGCCCUCUGGUUCGGAAUAACUCAGGGAAACUUGAGCUAAUACCGGAUACGCCCUUUUGGGGAAAGGCUUGCUGCCGGAGGAUCGGCCCGCGUCUGAUUAGCUAGUUGGUGAGGUAACGGCUCACCAAGGCGACGAUCAGUAGCUGGUCUGAGAGGAUGAUCAGCCACACUGGGACUGAGACACGGCCCAGACUCCUACGGGAGGCAGCAGUGGGGAAUAUUGGACAAUGGGCGCAAGCCUGAUCCAGCCAUGCCGCGUGAGUGAUGAAGGCCUUAGGGUUGUAAAGCUCUUUUAUCCGGGACGAUAAUGACGGUACCGGAGGAAUAAGCCCCGGCUAACUUCGUG
RNAcentral lists this ribosomal RNA (435 nucleotides) under uncultured bacterium. RNAcentral's name for it is "partial 16S ribosomal RNA". It matches the Rfam family "Bacterial small subunit ribosomal RNA", at positions 29 to 507 of the family's 1533-position model. The record is from RNAcentral.